This 27-nucleotide small RNA is filed under the name Bombyx mori (domestic silkworm). RNAcentral's name for it is "ovarian small RNA-35563". The record is from RNAcentral. Lineage: Eukaryota; Metazoa; Arthropoda; Insecta; Lepidoptera; Bombycidae.
UGUCAAAUGUAAUUUACUACUAGGGUC